UUUCGAGUGAGCUUGGGGGAUUCGAUCGAGGUCAAGGAUUGGUCUAUGCAAAUGGUAGUUGCUCAUUUUUCUCCACCCAUUUUAUAAAAAUGAUCUUCCGAUGGAUAAGGGGGAUCUUCCAGAGAAUAUAGAUCUACUGGAAAAGAGAUAUUCGUUAGAGAAUGGAGAUCGAAAAAAGUGUUUUGGUAGGUGAUUUUUCUCUGUGCUUUCUAAGGCAUCUAUGCCAGUCUGCCCUAUCUUUAUAGAUAGGAGCCCCUCUCUGGUAGAAAUUUCUUCCCAACGCUAUCUGUCCAAGGGGAAAAGGCUUUCAAGCUUCAGUGUGCCAAGCGAGCGCUGCCCAUUCACUCCUAAGAGUGCUU
Molecule: long non-coding RNA, 359 nt
Filed under: Phoenix dactylifera (date palm)
Lineage: Eukaryota; Viridiplantae; Streptophyta; Magnoliopsida; Arecales; Arecaceae
Description: long non-coding RNA (PDAC_LNC022373)
Source: RNAcentral